UAAAAAUUUGAAGGGAGGAAUGCACUUUGGUUAGAGAUUUUCAUUUGGUGUCAAACGCACCUAGUUGUAAACAAAUGGAAAUUGAAAGUAAAAGUGCAACGGCACGGUAUAUUUUUUCUGGCAUUUUUUGUUUUCCAAUAUCUCGAACUUUCACGACAAAAAGGUCAUUUGCCAGAAAUUCAAUACAUGUAUCAGUGAGAGGGGCUAAAGUUUGUAUGGAAGUCUAUGGGAAAACAUUUGGUGGUGUUUGUCCUAUAGAAUAGCAAUGCAUUAUCAAGAAGGAAGAGAUUAAUGAACCCUACCCUCUUACAAUGAACAACACAUGGACACUCUCGGGAUGAUCCCUUUGCUUUCAUUAAGAGUUCCAAGAUGUUGGUCUGAUUGACUGGGGUGUGAAAUGUAACAGCCAAUGGUAUACUUAAGCUAAGACUGUCAGUC
Molecule: long non-coding RNA, 438 nt
Organism: Saccostrea cuccullata (small rock oyster)
Lineage: Eukaryota; Metazoa; Mollusca; Bivalvia; Ostreida; Ostreidae
Exons: 3
Source: RefSeq, a predicted model, not a curated record